Molecule: ribosomal RNA, 253 nt
Filed under: uncultured bacterium
Lineage: Bacteria
Description: partial 16S ribosomal RNA
Rfam family: Bacterial small subunit ribosomal RNA
Source: RNAcentral
UACGGAGGGGGCUAGCGUUGUUCGGAAUUACUGGGCGUAAAGCGCACGUAGGCGGCUUUGUAAGUUAGAGGUGAAAGCCCGGGGCUCAACUCCGGAAUUGCCUUUAAGACUGCAUCGCUAGAAUUGUGGAGAGGUAAGUGGAAUUCCGAGUGUAGAGGUGAAAUUCGUAGAUAUUCGGAAGAACACCGGUGGCGAAGGCGACUUACUGGACACAUAUUGACGCUGAGGUGCGAAAGCGUGGGGAGCGAACAGG